Molecule: long non-coding RNA, 525 nt
Filed under: Macaca mulatta (Rhesus monkey)
Lineage: Eukaryota; Metazoa; Chordata; Mammalia; Primates; Cercopithecidae
Description: lncRNA (ENSMMUG00000052732.1)
Source: RNAcentral
CAGCGGCCGAGGUCCGCGCCCCGGGCGCCCCUCCCAGAUCCCAUCAAGCCAUGGUUUCAGCUCCACCCCUACUCAGGUACUGUUGCCCAGAGCCCACCCACAAGAGGUGCACAGGAGCACGGGAAGGAUGAAAGGGAUCCAGUGUGAUGGGCUUGCCACCAAGUGACGGGCCGGUGUCCUCAUGGAAUGAUGCUGCAUUUGGGACUUAGCGUGGGUCUCUGUUGCUGGAGAAUUGGAGAUUUGGCAGCAGGAAUAGCAGCAGCUAAAUCAGCCACGGCUCCUGACUAUCUGGUCAAGCCAUUGGCCACUGCCCAUGAGUCCAUGUGUAUUCUGAACUGAGGCCAUUUCCCUUUCCCCCAAAGUGGAUGACCAGUGUCUAAAGCUCUACCCGUUGGAAGGAUUUCACUUUACCACCAUCUUUCCAGGCCACUCCUGGGUGGAGCUGUGGUGCACACACCAUCCACUGCUGCAGUGCAGACACCAUCAGCUUUUAUUUUGAAUUUUUAUUUACAAAAAAAAAAAAAA